This 470-nucleotide ribosomal RNA is filed under the name uncultured organism. Its description in RNAcentral is "partial 16S ribosomal RNA". It matches the Rfam family "Bacterial small subunit ribosomal RNA", at positions 334 to 796 of the family's 1533-position model. The record is from RNAcentral.
CACUCCUACGGGAGGCAGCAGUGGGGAAUUUUGGACAAUGGGCGAAAGCCUGAUCCAGCAAUGCCGCGUGAGUGAAGAAGGCCUUCGGGUUGUAAAGCUCUUUUGUCAGGGAAGAAACGGUGAGAGCUAAUAUCUCUUGCUAAUGACGGUACCUGAAGAAUAAGCACCGGCUAACUACGUGCCAGCAGCCGCGGUAAUACGUAGGGUGCAAGCGUUAAUCGGAAUUACUGGGCGUAAAGCGUGCGCAGGCGGUUUUGUAAGUCUGAUGUGAAAUCCCCGGGCUCAACCUGGGAAUUGCAUUGGAGACUGCAAGGCUAGAAUCUGGCAGAGGGGGGUAGAAUUCCACGUGUAGCAGUGAAAUGCGUAGAUAUGUGGAGGAACACCGAUGGCGAAGGCAGCCCCCUGGGUCAAGAUUGACGCUCAUGCACGAAAGCGUGGGGAGCAAACAGGAUUAGAUACCCCGGUGUCCC